Molecule: microRNA precursor, 88 nt
Organism: Nomascus leucogenys (northern white-cheeked gibbon)
Lineage: Eukaryota; Metazoa; Chordata; Mammalia; Primates; Hylobatidae
Source: Ensembl
UGCAGUGACAUCAGGGCCCAGUCCCUGCUGUCAUGCCCCAGGUGACGUGCCCGGGCUGACAGCAGGGCGGGCCGCUAACGUCACUGUC